AAACGUAGGAGGCAAGCGUUAUCCGGAUUUAUUGGGCGUAAAGCGCGUGCAGGCGGUCUAGCAAGUUGGAUGUGAAAGCUCCCGGCUCAACUGGGAGAGGUCGUUCAAUACUGCUAGACUAGAGAAUAGGAGAGGGAGGUGGAAUUCCGGGUGUAGUGGUGAAAUGCGUAGAUAUCCGGAGGAACACCAGUGGCGAAAGCGGCCUCCUGGACUAUUUCUGACGCUAAGACGCGAAAGCUAGGGUAGCAAACGGGAUUAGAGACCCCGGUAGUCCUAGCUGUAAACGAUGUAGACUUGGUGUUGGCGGAGUUAAAUCUGCCGGUACCGUAGCUAACGCGAUAAGUCUACCGCCUGGGGACUACGAUCGCAAGAUUAAA
This 377-nucleotide ribosomal RNA is filed under the name uncultured bacterium. Its description in RNAcentral is "bacterial SSU rRNA". It matches the Rfam family "Bacterial small subunit ribosomal RNA", at positions 523 to 898 of the family's 1533-position model. The record is from RNAcentral.